Molecule: ribosomal RNA, 301 nt
Filed under: uncultured bacterium
Lineage: Bacteria
Description: partial 16S ribosomal RNA
Rfam family: Bacterial small subunit ribosomal RNA
Source: RNAcentral
CAGCAGCCGCGGGAACACAGAGGGUGCGAGCGUUAAUCGGAUUUACUGGGCGUAAAGCGUGCGUAGGCGGCUUUUUAAGUCGGAUGUGAAAUCCCUGAGCUUAACUUAGGAAUUGCAUUCGAUACUGGGAAGCUAGAGUAUGGGAGAGGAUGGUAGAAUUCCAGGUGUAGCGGUGAAAUGCGUAGAGAUCUGGAGGAAUACCGAUGGCGAAGGCAGCCAUCUGGCCUAAUACUGACGCUGAGGUACGAAAGCAUGGGGAGCAAACAGGAUUAGAUACCCCAGUAGUCCCUGUCUCUUAUAC